GGGCACAUGGUGUAGUUGGUUAUCACGCCCGCUUAGCAUCAGGCCGGGUAUUUGCAUCUGCGGGCGGUCCCCGGUUCAAUUCCGGGUGUGUCCA
Non-coding RNA from Tephrocybe rancida, 94 nucleotides. The record is from the annotation of a GenBank genome assembly. Lineage: Eukaryota; Fungi; Basidiomycota; Agaricomycetes; Agaricales; Lyophyllaceae.